This 228-nucleotide ribosomal RNA is filed under the name uncultured bacterium. Its description in RNAcentral is "partial 16S ribosomal RNA". It matches the Rfam family "Bacterial small subunit ribosomal RNA", at positions 103 to 334 of the family's 1533-position model. The record is from RNAcentral.
CGGGUGAGUAGUGUCUGGGAAACUGCCUGAUGGAGGGGGAUAACUGCUGGAAACGGUAGCUAAUACCGCAUAACGUCGCAAGACCAAAGAGGGGGACCUUCGGGCCUCUUGCCAUCGGAUGUGCCCAGAUGGGAUUAGCUAGUAGGUGGGGUAACGGCUCACCUAGGCGACGAUCCCUAGCUGGUCUGAGAGGAUGACCAGCCACACUGGAACUGAGACACGGUCCAG